GCUUGUGUCUCUGCUGACUCUUAGGCAAGGAAUGGUCAAGGCAGGUGCAGGGGACUCUGCGACUUGGUGUAAUCGUGCCAAAAGAAUCGACAGCAACAGAAUGCUUUUAUUACUUUUAUAUAAUCUUCUCUGGGGAGCUAAGAGCACGCCAUUUCUUUCUCACGACAUCCUUAGGGUGGGAAUGCAAGAGAAUUUUACACCACGUGGGAAUGGCGGUACAGGACUGCGAUCUGACGUCCUUGAAGGUGCCUCACCAAACUGAUGGUUCCUAGACCUAAAUAAAAAGAGAAUAGAGAAACGGAUGACCCAUCCAGCACCGUGGCAAAUUCAGAUGGCCCCAAAAGAGUGGAGAGGAGUAUGAGAAAAGGCCCUCUCUCUAUUUCAUUUGUUGCCCGCACCCCACUAAGGAAACAGUACGAAGAGAAUACGCCGGGAGAGCACAGCGGACGAGAAGCAACCGGGAAGAAGGGAAGGGGGCUGACGGGGUGUAUGGACUGUGCCCUCUGGUGUGAUCUCGGCACGAAUUCGAGACAGAGACAUCCGUGGGCACUGCCAGCGGGUCUCCCAGCCUGGGCUUCACAGCGCCGUGGGUAUUCGUAGCCCAGUCAGGAUCUCAGCCCUUCCUCCUAAACUUUAGCAUCCUGAAAUUCAGGUUUGCUUGUGUUGCCAGGUUUGGGUCAGGCUCUGCAGUGGCUGGCUAACCAUAUUUAUGAAAAUGACUCCCGUAAAAACUGGAAUGCUGGGUUAAUAGUCUCCUAACAAAUGAACCAAAAUACCUGUGCCUACGGAUCAACGCAUUUCUUUCUUCCGCAUACAAGUGUUCGUGGUUUCCUAGAGACUGUUCUUGGAGAUGCAGCUGGGAGGGAACGAGCAGCGUUUGGCAGAUCUCCUGUGACCCCAUCGAGAGCUCUGCAGUGAGAAGGACCCUUUGAGAUACUCUAAAGCGAGGCAACCGAGCUGGGCCUUGGAAUCUCCGUGUCCGUGGGUUGCUCGGUCUUUGGGUAUGGACGCCCUGCUGGGAGGGCCUGGAGCCUUGGCUGAGCCCCAUAGCCCCGGGCUGUGCACGGGGGUGGGGGGGGUGGGCUGUAGCUGUGCGCCCCCUAUUUCCAGCAGAUGGGCGACAGGUGCCUUGGCCCUGAAGAGAGUUUCUGGGUAGAGCACCACAGCACUCACUACAAACACAUUGCUUGUAAGAUACAUCCUGAAUUCAGAAACGUGAAAUGUGAAGAAAGUGCACCUUUGCAGGGUAGAAAUACGGUAUAAGGAUUCAGUAGUGUUUGUUUGUUUUGGUAUGGAGGAGCAAGCUGGACUUGUGGAAGAAUUCUAGUAGAGAAUUGGAACUCCAGAGGGUCUCAGGGACUGUUUUCCACUAUCUGUCAUUCACGGGUCUUUUUGCAAAUCUAUUUUACUCUUCCUUCUUGACAUCACAGAUUUCUUUGCUAAACAGUUUAGCCACGCCCCUGUAGGACGUGGAUGAUGGCCCGUACUGUGCUGGUGAAUGCUUCAAAAUUGUCUCUCUGGAGGAAAAGAAGUGUGCACAUGUAUUCAUGUAAUUUUUACUGAUCUAGGGGAUGCGGAGGACACAAUUUUAGGUAAUGAUGAGCUAUACAGCACUCUUAUUGUAAAGCCCAUAUAGCCCGUUGAAUCUCACCGAAUGCUUUCAUUGAUUUCUGUAGAACUCUUGUCUCCCCAGCCAGUCUGUGGGUAUAAAGGAUGAACGAGUCUAGCUCUGACAUGAAUGCUGGUUGAUAUUUUAUUUGUUUAUUUUUAAAUAUUUUAAUGCUUUUUUGUUGUUGUUUGUUUGUUUUUUGUUUCUGAGUGACAGAGGACAGAGCAUGAGCAGGGGAGGGGCAGAGAGAGAGGGAGACACAGAACCCGAAGCAGGCCCCAGGCUCUGAGCUGUCAACACAGAGCCCGAUGCGGGGCUCGAACCCACAAACCGUGAGAUCAUGACCUGGGCCAAAGUUGGAUGCGCAACCAACUGAGCCACCCAGGCACCCCUAGAUUAAGUAGCUUUUUAAAAAGUUACAUUCUAUCCGUUAGGACAGCAACAAAAAACCCCAGGUCAUUCUGAUUACUUUGGUAUUUCUUCCACACUUCAGAAAUGACAAAUAAUCUUUUUUUUGGAAGAGUUAUUCCACCAGAGCAAUAGUCUCAUCCAUCUUAUGUUGGUUUUGACUAUCUCUUCCCAUAGACAAUGACCAGUGUUUCCUUUCUUCCUUUUCUAAGUUUUAUUUUAUUUAUUUUUUUAGUAAUACCUACACACAACACAGGGCUUGAAUUCACGACCUCGAGAUCGCAGUGCAGAGCUCACAGAAGACACUUAUGAAGAUUUAUGAAGAUUUACACAAUUAUGAAGAUUUACACAAAUGUUUUUUUGUCCAGUCCUUUGCUUUCUUUUAAUGGCAUUAUUUACCAUUUAUCAUACGUAAUUUCUAAAGUAGAUACGCUAGAAAAACGUGUAAUGAAUGUCAAUAAUUAAAAUAUGACUGCUCUCUGGAUAUUUUCUCCACAUUAUGGAAUUUGUGUCAAAUUAUGGCAUGAAGAAGAAAAGAAGAAUCACCAGAGGUUACUCUUGACUCAUAACAACCUGACAUUUUGAUAUGUUUCCUUCCAGUCAUUUUUUUCUAGGUUUAUAUGCUUUUCUAUCCAAAAAGAGACCAUAUGCUAUAUUUCUAGUUUUAUUAGUUUACUUUUUUUUUUUUUUUACAAAGCAUUGUAUCACAAGCAUUCUCAUAUAAAUGAAUGUUUUGUGAAACCUGGUUUUUAAUGUUCCAUAUUAUUGCAUUGUAUGUGUGAACUACAACUUAUUUAACCAUUCCCCUGUUUAAGAUAUUUGGGUUGCUUCUAAUAUGUCACUUUUUAAAUAACUGCCGUUAUGGAACGGGAUGCAUGUUCUGAAAAUGGACAUGUUCUCCCUUAGAGUCUUUUUUUCCCUUCCUAUUGAAAGUCUUACUUGUCAGGUUUUUAAUUUUUUUUUCAUGUUUAUUUAUUUAUUGUUGAGAGAAAGAGAGACAGAGCAUUAGCAGGGGAGGGGCAGAGAGAGAGGGAGACACAGAAUCUGAAGCAGGCUGUAGGCUCUGAGCUGUCAGCACAGAGCCCCCCGUGGGGCUGGAACCUACAAGCUGUGCGAUCAUGACCUGAGCCAAAGUCAGACACUUAACUGACUGAGCCAACAGGGCGCCCCAAAAAGCUUACUUGUCAGUUUGCUUGUUCAAGUACACAUCUCUCACUGUUCCUUCUCAAGCUUUUAUCAGGAUGUAGUGCACAUGUUUACAGAAACAUCGAAAUCAGUGAAAGUCUGAAAUGUAAAAGCCUGUUUAUGGUAGCUAGUUUUUUCUCUGGUUUAACACUUAACUGUCUCCUAUUGGCCAGCUAACCCUUUGCUGUCAACUUCCGUUACUGUUACGGUCAUCUCUGUCCUUCAUUCAGAUUUUUGUAUAAUAAUCCCUAAAACAGGAAAGUGCUAACAAAUUAUUUGCUUAGUGAAUUAAAAGUGACUCAGGAAAUAGAUAUCCAUAUAAGAGUGUUGUCAUGUUUAUUAGUUCAAGGACCCUUUUUCUGUAAAAUAUUUUAAGCUUUUAAAAGCCCUAAAAAUUAGCAAAGCCUCUUAGGUCAGAGAGUCAGUUAACUUCCUAUUGUCGAUCUAUUUCUGGUAAAACCAACAUACACAUGUAUACAAAACUUUGUAAACUGAUUGAACAAUUCUCUACCAACUUUUUUUUGAUAAAUCAUCUUACCUAGUAUCGAUUGAUGGGACUGAAUGAUAUUUCUUUCCUUUUUGAGUAGGAAAAACUAACAUGUCAAAUAUUUUCAGUUAUGACUUAACUAGAAUUUCAAAAACAACUUCAAUGGCAUAGAACCAAAGAUAAAUGCUUUGUAAACAAUUCUUAGGGUCUUUUUAAAUUAAAACCUUAUGGGUGCCUGGGUGGCGAAGUCGGUUAAGCAUCCAACUUUGGUUCAGGUCUCAAAAAUAAAAAUAAAACAUCAAAAAAUUAUAAACAUAAAAUUAAACUCUUAGAUAUAAUUUUUUUCCACAAUUUAAUUUUUCUUCUUGGGUUGGACUUAAAAAACACGCAACUAUUUCUUAUUACAUCUCCAAUCAUAUCACUGAAAAUCUUGAUUGCUGAACACAUGACCAUAAAAAUGAUCUGAGUUAGCUUAGGGUAAAUGUUCAAUUAUGACCAAGGUACGUAAGCAAUCUAGAACUGAGGAAGAAGAGACAUUUACUUCCAAAACGACUUAAAUGGAUGUAGUUGCUUAACUUUACAGGAAAUUUAACGGGCUGGCAAUGAACCCUGCCCCUUUAUUCUGUACUUAUGAGCUAAUUGUAUUGUUCAGGUUUUUCCCACUCUAGUGCAUUCAUAUUGGUGAGCAGGUAACUUGGAACUCUGAUGUGAACUUCUGGUAUAAUGAGUGAGAUCUGGCCCUAGUUAACUUAAUUGAAGUGUUCUACGAGGAGGCUUUUGCACCUGAACUAGCAGGUACAAGCAGGUGUGAUAACUUCUCAUUAAAAAUGCGCCACGACUCCGGUUUCAGCCCGCUUUCAAUUCUAUCUACUAGCAUAAAAGGCAGGCGCGCUUCCGGAGGGCGCCGCCAGGGGGUGCAAAUCCAAGCGGCUUCGUCAACAACAGGGGCCCUGGAGCGCUUCCUUCCGUCCUCUCGCUCACCUCAGCUUCCGCCGGAAGCGGUUCCUGUCAGUCGUCCUCCGGCGUUUGAGCUUGUUUGUGUUGGUUCGCGGCGCCUGGCCGAGUGAGGCUCGGACGGAGGAGCUGGAGAGGGAAGCUCGA
Molecule: long non-coding RNA, 4790 nt
Filed under: Panthera leo (lion)
Lineage: Eukaryota; Metazoa; Chordata; Mammalia; Carnivora; Felidae
Description: lncRNA (ENSPLOG00000011533.1)
Source: RNAcentral